RNAcentral lists this ribosomal RNA (387 nucleotides) under uncultured bacterium. RNAcentral describes it as "bacterial SSU rRNA". It matches the Rfam family "Bacterial small subunit ribosomal RNA", at positions 29 to 401 of the family's 1533-position model. The record is from RNAcentral.
AACGAACGCUGGCGGCGUGCCUAACACAUGCAAGUCGUGGGAGAAGGGAGCUUCGGCUCCCGAGUAAACCGGCGCACGGGUGAGUAACACGUAGGUAACGUACCUUCGAGUCUGGGAUAACCAACCGAAAGGUUGGGCUAAUACCGGAUACGAUCCGAGGGGCUGCGGCUCUUCGGGGGAAAGGCGGCCUCUGCUUGCAAGCUGUCACUCGAAGAUCGGCCUGCGUACCAUUAGCUUGUUGGCGAGGUAACGGCUCACCAAGGCUGAGAUGGUUAGCUGGCCUGAGAGGAUGGCCAGCCACACUGGGACUGAGACACGGCCCAGACUCCUACGGGAGGCAGCAGUGGGGAAUAUUGCGCAAUGGGGAACCUGACGCAGCGACGCGCG